Molecule: ribosomal RNA, 497 nt
Filed under: uncultured bacterium
Lineage: Bacteria
Description: bacterial SSU rRNA
Rfam family: Bacterial small subunit ribosomal RNA
Source: RNAcentral
AAUCAGCGCUGGCGGCGUGCCUCAGACAUGCAAGUCGAACGAGAAAGUUUCCUUCGGGGAACGAGUAAAGUGGCGUCCGGGUGAGUAACACGUGGGUAAUUUACCUUUGGGUGGGGAAUAGCAGUCGGAAACGGCUAAUAAUACCGCAUAAUGCAGCGGCUCGACAUCGAGACAGUUGUUAAAGCGGGGGACCUGAAAAGACCUCGCGCCUGAAGAGAAGCCUGCGCCAGAUUAGCAGUUGGCAGGGUAAUGGCCUACCAAGGCUUUGAUCUGUAGCCGGCCUGAGAGGGCGGUCGGCCACACUGACACUGACACACGGGUCAGACUCCUACGGGAGGCAGCAGUCGGGAAUUUUGGGCAAUGGGCGCAAGCCUGACCCAGCAACGCCGCGUGAAGGAUGAAAUCCCUCGGGAUGUAAACUUCGCAAAUAUGGGAAGAACACAAUGACGGUACCNUAUGUAAGCCCCGGCUAACUCCGUGCCAGCAGCCGCUGUAAG